CCUACGGGAGGCAGCAGUGGGGAAUAUUGGGCAAUGGGCGCAAGCCUGACCCAGCAACGCCGCGUGAAGGAAGAAGGCUUUCGGGUUGUAAACUUCUUUUGUCAGGGACGAAGCAAGUGACGGUACCUGACGAAUAAGCCACGGCUAACUACGUGCCAGCAGCCGCGGUAAUACGUAGGUGGCAAGCGUUACUCGGAUUUACUGGGUGUAAAGGUCGGGUAGGCGGGACUGCAAGUCAGAUGUGAAAACCACGGGCUCAACCUGUGGCCUGCAUUUGAAACUGUAGUUCUUGAGUACUGGAGAGGCAGACGGAAUUCCUAGUGUAGCGGUGAAAUGCGUAGAUAUUAGGAGGAACGCCAGUGGCGAAGGCGGUCUGCUGGACAGCAACUGACGCUGAGGCGCGAAAGCGUGGGGAGCAAACAGGAUUAGAUACCCUGGUAGUC
Molecule: ribosomal RNA, 443 nt
Filed under: uncultured bacterium
Lineage: Bacteria
Description: partial 16S ribosomal RNA
Rfam family: Bacterial small subunit ribosomal RNA
Source: RNAcentral